RNAcentral lists this small RNA (133 nucleotides) under Klebsiella aerogenes. RNAcentral's name for it is "RtT sRNA". It matches the Rfam family "RtT RNA". From Rfam's summary of the family: This family represents a bacterial cis-regulatory element known as RtT RNA. The record is from RNAcentral. Lineage: Bacteria; Pseudomonadati; Pseudomonadota; Gammaproteobacteria; Enterobacterales; Enterobacteriaceae.
UAUUCUGCCCUGCGGGGAAGGAUGAGAAGCUUCGACUUAGGUUCGACUCGAGCGUCAGCGAGAGAACGUUGCCGCAUGCAACGGCCCGAAGGGCAAGGCGCUUUAGCGCCGAGUAAUCCUUCCCCCACCACCA